Molecule: long non-coding RNA, 1006 nt
Filed under: Lathyrus oleraceus (garden pea)
Lineage: Eukaryota; Viridiplantae; Streptophyta; Magnoliopsida; Fabales; Fabaceae
Description: Pisum sativum (pea) long non-coding RNA (PSAT_LNC018220)
Source: RNAcentral
ACCGGCUCAUUGUAAGAAAGCCCAAGAGUAAGCUAUGUGAGGUUGAUGGCGAUGCUUAAAAAGCAAUCGACUUACAAGGGUGUGAAAAUGGGCUCGAUAUUAAAUCGAGAAAAAUAUGAUUUUUAUAAGUUUAAAAAUGGUCUUGAAUGAAUGAUGAAAUUAAAAGAAAAUAAAUUUGCAUUAUUAACAAAUGAAACUAUGAGUAUAAUAAAGGCAUAAACAUAAAAGAAAUGAAAAUGCUAAAAGAAAAUAAAAUAGCUAAAAGAAAUAAAAUAGCUAAAAGAAAUAAAAUGCCAAAAAAAUGCCACACAUGAGUAUUGAACCCACCCCACUCAAGACUAUGAUACUACCCUUCUCCACCAGACCAGUCAUGGAUAUUUAUUAUUUUGAUGCUACUUUAAAUAUAUAAACCAAAAUAGAUUAAACAUUAGAAUAAAAAACUAAAAUAAAAAAAAGUUUGUUGGACUACUAGUAGUUAAACCCAGCCGUCUGGCUGUUGGGUUUUUCCAGAGAAUAUGAAUUGAAAAUGUGUAAAUACUUAUUAACUACUUAGGAAGUUUAAACAAAACCUUUAAUGUUUUUUUAAAACUUAUUCUGUAUAAAAAAUAAAUUAAAGAAAAAAAAUAAGGAAACCAAAACAGAAGACACUUUCGUCUCCGUCUCUCACAAUCUCACGAGUUCUCCAUCAAACUCAAAACUCUCUCAGGCGAAACCUCUCUCUGCUCUCAGAAUCGCUAUCCCUCAACCUUACCCAAUCGUCUCUCAAACGCGUCCAACCCUCUCUCUCUCAAACUCGCUCAAACGAAAUCUCCCUCUGCUCUCAAAAUCGCUCGCAUCUAUCUCUCAAACCUCUCUCUCGCGUACUUUCUACCUCAAAGUCGCUCAUCAACGAACCCUCUCACGCUCUCAAACUCAAAGAAUCACUCUCUCUCAACUCUCACGAUAUCUCCAUUAACAAGCAAGUGAAAAGGAUAAAAGGAAAAAGGAGAAGUUCUUACAAAGUGUC